GGCUUCUACCGGUAGGUGACAGGGCAGUGUUCCCAGCAGUGGGACAAGAGGCACUGGCACCAGGCCAUGAGCCAUGCAUUCCUAGCUCUGCAGGGCAUGCAUGCCACGCGGACUGUGACAGUGAGCUCUUCCAGGCCCCCAGUGAGCCUGAGAGGGGGUCUGGGAAGAGUCAAGAGACACCCAGACAGUGCCAUGUGGCAGUGAAGCCUCUGGUCCCAAUCUGCCAGGGUGCAAAGCCCCAGGACUGCUGGUGGGAUGUUGGCACUACCCCGUUUUCCUUUUCCAGCUACAACAGAAUGGCAGAGAGGAAAGGACCCUCCGGGAUCUUCCAGUUCAGCCAGCCCAUUUUACAGAGGUGGAGACUGAGGCCAGAGAUGGGGAAACUGAGGCUUCAGGAGGAGAAGGGAUGUGUCCUAGGCAUCCAGGUAGCAAGGCACUCGGAGCGUGCGGAAUCAGAUCUCCAUCCCACUGAGCAUCCUCAGCUCCAAAGGUGGGAUAGGUGAGGAAAUGGCUCAGGAAGGGGAGGUGGGUCGCACCAGGGGCCUAGAACCAAAGAGAAAGGGAGGACACAAGAUGCUGUCAUCACUGUCCCAGCCAGGGGAGUGGGGAGCUGUGCAGGAGAGUCAAACCUCAGCCCCAUUACACCUUUUUAAAAACCAUGGAAGAGUGAUAUAACUUUCUUUUUUUCUUUU
RNAcentral lists this long non-coding RNA (692 nucleotides) under Homo sapiens (human). RNAcentral's name for it is "HSALNT0277410". Lineage: Eukaryota; Metazoa; Chordata; Mammalia; Primates; Hominidae. The record is from RNAcentral.